GAUAUCAACUGAAGAAGUCAUCAACAACAAAGUUGAAUAACUCAUCAAGAUCUAAAACUUUUAUUUUGGUCAUUUCUUCAUACGAUAAAGUGAUAGUAACAUUGUUCACAAAAUUGACAUAUCUCUUAUCUGGUUUUAUAAACUAUAACACAUAUAUGUAAAAUUUAUGAAUAAUAUUACUAACAUUUCGUCAGAUGAAGAAAUAACAAAAAUAAAAGUUUUAGAUCUUGAUGAGUUAUUCAACUUUGUUGUUGAUGACUUUUUCAAUUGAAAUC
Oryza sativa Indica Group (long-grained rice) is the source of this 275-nucleotide microRNA precursor. It matches the Rfam family "MIR821 microRNA precursor family". The record is from Rfam. NCBI's taxonomy places the organism in Eukaryota, Viridiplantae, Streptophyta, Magnoliopsida, Poales, Poaceae.